RNAcentral lists this ribosomal RNA (449 nucleotides) under uncultured bacterium. Its description in RNAcentral is "partial 16S ribosomal RNA". It matches the Rfam family "Bacterial small subunit ribosomal RNA", at positions 29 to 523 of the family's 1533-position model. The record is from RNAcentral.
AGCGAACGCUGGCAGCAGGCCUAACACAUGCAAGUCGAACGGAUCCUUCGGGAUUAGUGGCGGACGGGUGAGUAACACGUGGGAACGUGCCCUUUGGUUCGGAACAACUCAGGGAAACUUGAGCUAAUACCGGAUGUGCCCUUCGGGGGAAAGAUUUAUCGCCAUUGGAGCGGCCCGCGUCUGAUUAGCUAGUUGGUGAGGUAAAGGCUCACCAAGGCGACGAUCAGUAGCUGGUCUGAGAGGAUGAUCAGCCACAUUGGGACUGAGACACGGCCCAAACUCCUACGGGAGGCAGCAGUGGGGGAUCUUGCGCAAUGGGCGAAAGCCUGACGCAGCCAUGCCGCGUGAAUGAUGAAGGUCUUAGGAUUGUAAAAUUCUUUCACCGGGGACGAUAAUGACGGUACCCGGAGAAGAAGCCCCGGCUAACUUCGUGCCAGCCGCCGCGGUAA